CCCCCGAUGGUCUAGUUGGAUAUGGCGUUCGGCUGUAAUAACCGAAAGGUCGCCGGCUCGAUUCCGGCUCGGGGGA
Molecule: transfer RNA, 76 nt
Filed under: Aspergillus fumigatus
Lineage: Eukaryota; Fungi; Ascomycota; Eurotiomycetes; Eurotiales; Aspergillaceae
Description: tRNA Tyr anticodon GTA, Cove score 58.04
Source: RNAcentral